RNAcentral lists this ribosomal RNA (380 nucleotides) under uncultured Microcystis sp. Its description in RNAcentral is "partial 23S ribosomal RNA". It matches the Rfam family "Bacterial large subunit ribosomal RNA", at positions 2096 to 2474 of the family's 2925-position model. The record is from RNAcentral. Lineage: Bacteria; Bacillati; Cyanobacteriota; Cyanophyceae; Chroococcales; Microcystaceae.
AAGCUUUACUGUAGCCUGGAAUUGGCUUCGGGCUUCGCUUGCGCAGGAUAGGUGGGAAGCGUUGAAACUCUCCUCGUGGGGAGAGUGGAGCUAACGGUGAGAUACCACUCUGGCGAGGCUAGAAUUCUAACCCUGACCCCUCAUCGGGGCGGGAGACAGUUUCAGGUGGGCAGUUUGACUGGGGCGGUCGCCUCCUAAAAGGUAACGGAGGCGCGCAAAGGUUCCCUCGGUCCCGUUGGAAAUGGGACGAUAGAGUGCAAAAGCAGAAGGGAGCUUGACUGUGAGACCCACAAGUCGAACAGGGACGAAAGUCGGCUUUAGUGAUCCGACGGCACCGCGUGGAAGGGCCGUCGCUCAACGGAUAAAAGUUACUCUAGGGA